This 482-nucleotide ribosomal RNA is filed under the name uncultured bacterium. RNAcentral's name for it is "bacterial SSU rRNA". It matches the Rfam family "Bacterial small subunit ribosomal RNA", at positions 30 to 507 of the family's 1533-position model. The record is from RNAcentral.
AUUGAACGCUGGCGGCAUGCCUUACACAUGCAAGUCGAACGGUAACAGGUCUUCGGAUGCUGACGAGUGGCGAACGGGUGAGUAAUACAUCGGAACGUGCCCGAUCGUGGGGGAUAACGGAGCGAAAGCUUUGCUAAUACCGCAUACGAUCUACGGAUGAAAGCAGGGGACCGCAAGGCCUUGCGCGGACGGAGCGGCCGAUGGCAGAUUAGGUAGUUGGUGGGAUAAAAGCUUACCAAGCCGACGAUCUGUAGCUGGUCUGAGAGGACGACCAGCCACACUGGGACUGAGACACGGCCCAGACUCCUACGGGAGGCAGCAGUGGGGAAUUUUGGACAAUGGGGGCAACCCUGAUCCAGCCAUGCCGCGUGAGUGAAGAAGGCCUUCGGGUUGUAAAGCUCUUUCGGCCGGGAAAAAAUCGCAUCAGUUAAUACCUGGUGUGGAUGAUGGUACCGGAAUAAGAAGCACCGGCUAACUACGUG